CUGACCGUAAACGAUGCCAACUAGCGAUCCGUCGGCGGCUCUACGGCCCUGAUGGGGAGCUUCCCGGAAACGAAAGUCUUCCGGUUCCGGGGGAAGUAUGGUUGCAAAGCUGAAACUUAAAGGAAUUGACGGAAGGGCACCACCAGGAGUGGAGCCUGCGGCUUAAUUUGACUCAACACGGGAAAACUCACCCGGCCCGGACACCGUGAGGAUUGACAGAUUGAUAGCUUUUUCAUGAUUCGGUGGUUGGUGGUGCAUGGCCGUUCUUAGUUCGUGGAUCGAUUUGUCUGGUUUAUUCCGAUAACGAGCGAGACUCCAGCCUACUAACUAGUACGGGCAUUGCCUCUGUGCCCGGCACUUCUUAGAGGGAUUGGCUGCGUCUAGCGGCACGAAACGGAGCAAUAACAGGUCUGUGAUGCCCUUAGAUGUCCGGGGCUGCACGCGCGCUACACUGGCAAAGGCAGCGUGCUUGUCCGUCUCCGAAAGGAGCCGGUAAACCCUUGAAAAUUUGCCGUGAUUGGGAUCGGAAAUUGCAAUUAUUUUCCGUGAACGAGGAAUUCCUAGUAAGUGCGAGUCAUCAGCUCGCGUUG
This 590-nucleotide ribosomal RNA is filed under the name Criconemoides brevistylus. RNAcentral describes it as "SSU rRNA". It matches the Rfam family "Eukaryotic small subunit ribosomal RNA", at positions 1026 to 1643 of the family's 1831-position model. The record is from RNAcentral. Lineage: Eukaryota; Metazoa; Nematoda; Chromadorea; Rhabditida; Criconematidae.